CUUUGGGACUGGGAGCUAUAAGGACCAUCAAGCCUGGAGCUGCCAUUGGCAACUUCAUCCUGCCUCCCGGGGAGAGCCUGCAUGAGAAUGCCAGGCAGAUGUUAAAAAUGGCAUUGCAGGAAAAUAUUUAAUGAUCUGGAGAGAUGUCCAUGAUACCUCCUUGCAUUCAAAAAAAACAAGCUACAAAACAGUACAUACCCUAUUAAUUGCUAUAUCUCUGCUCAUAUCUAUUCAUGUGCAAAUAACAAAAUGGAUGAUAGAUGCCAAGAUAUUAACAGUGGUUCUCUCUGUACCCCAGGCCCUGCCUACCCAGUUGGUGCCGAUGGCCACAGCCAUCAUGCCCGGUGUGAGUAGUCACCUGACCCCAGCUGGCUCAUCAGAUCAUCGCACACAGGAAUGUGACACAAGAGAAGAAGGAACUGGGUGAGAAUGAACUGAAAGGGCAGCAGGGUGGAGCAGCCAGGCCGGGCUGUGGAAAGGCAGAGAAAGCCAGAGGAGAAAGCAGACGGAGAGGAACUUCGACGUCUGGGAUUUGCUUCAAAAUAACCCACUGGGGCGGGUGUCGAUGAAACAGAAUUGGAUGAGCUGAUCACUUUCGAAGCUGGGCAUUGGUACGUAGGUGCUGGGCAGGCCCAGGGAGACGCGGGGACCGGAGAGUGAGCCACUGCCUGUUGGCCCCUCUUGCCUAUGGAGCUGGGCGGCUCUCUCCUAGCUGAGGGGAGGACGAGAGUGCCAAAAAACAGAGAGCCAAGGAGGCAGACCCCAAACUCCAGGAAGCAGAGGUCAGACCUGCAGCCAGGCCCCCACGUUCAUCCUGUGCUGGUGAGCCCUCCUGGCGGUGGAGCAGAGAGCACGGAAAGAGCAGCUUGUUGACGCUAGUGGCCAGAUUCUCAUCUACUCCCAUCUUCAGCAGAUUCCAUAUCUGAGGCCUCAGUUCCCUUCGUUUUGAGAUGGGAAGAUUCCAACUAGAAGAGGACGCCAGAGAGGAAGGAGAGUUCAGUGGGACUGAGGCUGGGCUCCCGGGAGCCAAGGCCACGGCAGGCACUGGGCGGCAGUAAUGGCUGGGGCAGGUCAGGGUGUGAUGGGGGACACUGAGUUGGGAAGACGAGGAGGUUUCAGGGACUGCUCUGUCCCUUCAUCAGCUCUGCCUUCUGAGAGUCAUUUAACACUGGACACCUCAAGCCUCGUGAUAACAGCCACCAGUGCACCAGAUUUUAGAGCCUUCGGUCAGCCAUUCACAGCAAUCCCCUAGGAAGGGACUCCUCAGCACUUUGUGGACGGAGAGGCGGGGCUUGGCGAGGCGUCAAGGCAGCUGGGCUGCCAGUCUCCGAGUCACACUGGAGCCUCUGCCCCAACUCCUGUCCACGCCACCACAGAGCUCAGUGCUUUCAGGGGAGCCCGCUCCGCCAUCUGCUCCACACCCUCGGAACGCUCUGACCUCACUCAGAACAAAACGUGCGCCCCUCCCAGCCCCUCCACCCACCUCCUCUUCCCGCACUGCCCUCCUUCACUGGCUCAGGGGCCUUUCCCAUCACUGUCCCUGGGACUUUUGUCUGUUCUGUGCACUUCUGAAUGUCUUGCCCUUCAGACAGUGUCCACUGUAGACGCUCAAGUAAGCAUUGUGGAUGGAAGGAAGGCAAGCAGGGAGAGAGGAGGGAAGGAAGGGAGGGAGGAAGGGAGCCCAGGCCCCUUAUUUCCACUACCACCCCCCUCCACACCAUGCAGCCAGCCUUGACCCCGCCCCCUUUUGCAGCACCGUUGCUGAUGUAUUUCUGAUUCUCACAUGCACUUGGUCACUCACAUGCAUAUCAGCCUGAAAGACUGAGAGCCCCAAAGUUAUCUGUUUCUCUCAUAAACUGACAAAUGGAUUUUAGAUUCUGUUAAGUUCCGCAGGACUUUGUUCCACUUGUAAUAAAAAAGAAAGGAAGAAAGGAAAAG
Long non-coding RNA from Equus caballus (horse), 1938 nucleotides. NCBI's taxonomy places the organism in Eukaryota, Metazoa, Chordata, Mammalia, Perissodactyla, Equidae. The record is from Ensembl.